AACGCACGAGACCUGCGGACCUGCGGAGGGAUCAUUACCGAGUGCGGGCCCUCGCGGCCCAACCUCCCACCCUUGUCUCUAUACACCUGUUGCUUUGGCGGGCCCACCGGGGCCACCUGGUCGCCGGGGGACGUCGUCUCCGGGCCCGCGCCCGCCGAAGCGCUCUGUGAACCCUGAUGAAGAUGGGCUGUCUGAGUACUAUGAAAAUUGUCAAAACUUUUAGCAAUGGAUCUCUAGAUC
RNAcentral lists this unclassified non-coding RNA (240 nucleotides) under soil metagenome. RNAcentral's name for it is "partial contains 5.8S ribosomal RNA, internal transcribed spacer 2, and large subunit ribosomal RNA". The record is from RNAcentral.